CAGUUCAGAUUGCAGGCUGNAACUCGCCUGCAUGAAGUCGGAAUUGCUAGUAAUCGCGGAUCAGCAUGCCGCGGUGAAUACGUUCCCGGGUCUUGUACACACCGCCCGUCACACCAUGGGAGUUGGAAAUGCCCGAAGUCGGUGACCUAACCGAAAGGGAGGAGCCGCCGAAGGCAGGUCUGAUAACUGGGGUGAAGUCGUAACAAGGUACC
Molecule: ribosomal RNA, 212 nt
Filed under: uncultured bacterium
Lineage: Bacteria
Description: partial 16S ribosomal RNA
Rfam family: Bacterial small subunit ribosomal RNA
Source: RNAcentral